GAGUCAGGAAGUGGGAGCGUGAACAUCUUCCAUCACUCAGUCCCCACAAGGCAGCUGCCUCACGCUUUGGAAAGUGAGAGAGAUACAUCAGAGCCCUGGGCGCUGUCACUGC
Molecule: long non-coding RNA, 112 nt
Organism: Myotis davidii
Lineage: Eukaryota; Metazoa; Chordata; Mammalia; Chiroptera; Vespertilionidae
Exons: 3
Source: RefSeq, a predicted model, not a curated record